GGGGAAGCGGUCUGUCCAAACGGAAGAACGUGUGGUGUUCAACACAGGCUUUCCACAGAUUCUUACAUGCUCGGUAAUUCACCAUAUUGAAGCCCAGUAACGUUUCUCUGGAUUCAUGCAAUUCUUUCCUAAGUUGAACAAAAAACUGUUUGCAUUUAAAAGAAAUUUUUACAAUCUUCAACCAAGGAAAGGUGUUAAUUCGGACUCUGUUCUUAAA
Molecule: long non-coding RNA, 217 nt
Filed under: Gallus gallus (chicken)
Lineage: Eukaryota; Metazoa; Chordata; Aves; Galliformes; Phasianidae
Source: RNAcentral